This 587-nucleotide ribosomal RNA is filed under the name uncultured bacterium. RNAcentral's name for it is "bacterial SSU rRNA". It matches the Rfam family "Bacterial small subunit ribosomal RNA", at positions 338 to 916 of the family's 1533-position model. The record is from RNAcentral.
CCUACGGGAGGCAGCAGUGGGGAAUUUUGGACAAUGGGCGAAAGCCUGAUCCAGCCAUUCCGCGUGAGUGAAGAAGGCCUUCGGGUUGUAAAGCUCUUUCGCAAGGGAAGAAAACUUAUAUUCUAAUAAAGUAUGAGGAUGACGGUACCUUGAUAAGAAGCACCGGCUAACUACGUGCCAGCAGCCGCGGUAAUACGUAGGGUGCGAGCGUUAAUCGGAAUUACUGGGCGUAAAGCGUGCGCAGGCGGUUUUGAAAGUCAGAUGUGAAAUCCCCGAGCUCAACUUGGGAACUGCGUUUGAAACUCCAAAGCUAGAGUAUAGGAGAGGGGGGUAGAAUUCCACGUGUAGCAGUGAAAUGCGUAGAGAUGUGGAGGAAUACCAAUGGCGAAGGCAGCCCCCUGGCCUAAUACUGACGCUCAUGCACGAAAGCGUGGGGAGCAAACAGGAUUAGAUACCCUGGUAGUCCACGCCCUAAACGAUGUCUACUAGUUGUUGGUGGAGUAAAAUCCAUUAGUAACGCAGCUAACGCGUGAAGUAGACCGCCUGGGGAGUACGGUCGCAAGAUUAAAACUCAAAUGAAUUGACGG